Molecule: RNA transcript, 2522 nt
Organism: Nymphaea colorata (pocket water lily)
Lineage: Eukaryota; Viridiplantae; Streptophyta; Magnoliopsida; Nymphaeales; Nymphaeaceae
Gene name: OVARIAN TUMOR DOMAIN-containing deubiquitinating enzyme 7
Exons: 12
Source: RefSeq, a predicted model, not a curated record
GGAUGAAAAUAAUGUCUCCUAAAUUUUCCUCGGAAAGAGAAUCCUACCACCGACUAUCCAAACAAUCCCUGCCCCCGAGGAAAGAAACCGCUACCCAUCUCCCGUGAGCCAGAGUGGAGUUAGGAGCAAGAGCAGCGCUGCAAUUGUGUGCGUGUAUCGCGCGGAGAAGAAACCAUGCUUAAACCUAACUUUCUCCUCUCUCUCUCACCCUCCCUCGUUCUGUAAGUUGUUCUCCUCUUCUUCCUCGCGCUUUUCUCUGACUGCAUGGACUGUCCGUCCCUUGAUAAUCAUUGGCGGCAGCAAAGUUGGUGGAUAGGCUUCGAAAAUGGUUCAGCCGAAAACGAAGAAGCACACAAAACCCAAGCUCAAGAAGCAACCUCCACCAUCGGGAAAGAAGAAUGGGAAGGCAGAUAACAAUGCUCAGUUCAGCAGUCAGUUAGACGCGCUUGGCUUAAAAAUAGUUCCAUUAGUUGCGGAUGGGAACUGCUUCUUUCGUGGUAUUGCGGAUCAGUUGGAAGGCAAUGAGGAAGAACAUGCAAAAUACCGGCAUAUGGUGGUCGAGUAUAUCAUGAAGCACCGUGAGGAAUUUGAGCCUUUCAUUGAGGAUGAUGUGCCAUUUGAUGAAUAUUGUCAAUCUAUGGGAAACGAUGGUACAUGGGCAGGUCACAUGGAAAUCCAAGCUGCUUCCCUUGUUUGUCAUAGCAACAUAUGUAUCCACCAUAGUAUGUCACCACGCUGGUAUAUAAAGAAUUUUCCAUGUCAUGGAAAUCGUAUGAUUCACCUGUCCUAUCAUGAUGGGGAGCAUUAUAAUAGCAUUCGGCUAAAAGAAGAUCCUUGUGAUGGGCCAGCUAAACCAAUCAUAAUUGAGGCUGACACUGUUCUUUCAGUGUCUAAUCAAACCAAAGUUUCAACGAAGAAUACUAAAGCUGCAAAUAGCACACGAACAACUGUUGAUCCAUCAUGUGUCAAAAUUGUUAUGAGUGGUAGCGGGUGUGGAGAUACCAAAAAAGUGGAACAGAUCUUACAAGAAGUGAAUGGAGAUGUUGAUGCAGCUAUUGAAUUUCUGAUAGCAGAGAGCAUUGAAGAAGCUGGAACUCAAACUGAUGCUAGAAAUUGUGAAAAUAAUUCUCAUGUCACCUCUGAGCAAUCUCAAGAAAUUGAUCAAGAUGCUGGCUGUGGGAGUGGCAGUCUGGCUGAUAGUACACCAAGGAAAGAUGAAAGAUUAAAUGAUAAUGCCCCAGACAAGGAAAAGAAAAUCCCAAGAAACAAGGUUUGUCCUUGUGGUUCUAGGAAGAAGUACAAGGCUUGUUGUGGGGCUGCAGCAGGAAGAUUGUCUACAAGAAUUGAUAUGAACCAAAAGGUUGUCACAAAUCGGAUGAGGAAAGAGCAGGUCCGGCAUGCAAAGGCAGAACUUGAGUCUGAUGUUCCUUUGCCUGGUUCUGAUCCAGGACAGCUUGAUCUUGGAGCACUUUGCAUCUGAUCAAGUUCCUUUUUUGCUUGUCCAAGCAUUUAAGGAAAUCAUAAUGCAGAAGGAUCUUAAUUAUUUUGGUAUUGAUAUUCUCAUGGAGGGUUUGAGGGAGGUCCAAUAGCGGUUUGUGCUUGACAUUGGCGAAGUACAUUGCUUUAAGGGAGAGAUUCCUGUUCCUUUUUCAAUGAGGGUUUGGAGUUCGAUGGGACCUGAUUCUUCUGCUUGAAUGAGGUAAGCGUCGAUCUCUUCUUGCGUUUGCCGUUUUGAAACACAGUGUCGCCGAUUUGACCUCACCAGCUAUGACUGAGACUUAAAUUUUAGGGGCACCCCCAUUGAGAAUUACUUUUGGAAAAUAUCAGAGGAAUUUGCAAGGUAGAACGAGGAAACAAAAAUUCUUGGACAUGUAUUUCUGUUUUGCAUCAAACACGAUCUCUCUCUCUCUCUCAAACAAAAAUAUCUUGAUUCCCGUGUGUAUUCUGCUCCUGUAACAAUGGGAGAGGAUAUUGUGUCAAGUUGAAAGCAUACUGUCUUCACUCCAGACCUCAUUGCAGCGUAAAGACCGAGGAAAGGGGGAGGCUUCAGCUCUCGCUCAAGUGAGAUUUGGACUGGACUGCCACCUUCCUUCUUUUCCCUUUCCUUUUAACAGUCUGGACAUGCAACAGCCUCGUGUCGCCCUUCCCUUUGAAAAUCUUCAGCCAAACUUGCAGAAAACAGAGCCACGCACACUUACCCUUCGUUCCUCUUCCUUCUCCCAGCCCCCCAUCCGUGAACAGGACGAACGAAUGGCAGGAAGAAAAUGCCAUGCCAUGUUCACAGCACCCGGUGUUCAGUUCCAACUCCCGGCAGAGAAAAGCAGUUCAAGAGUCAAUCUGUUACCGCCCAUAUCCAAACACGGCCUCUUCAUUCACUGAACGCGGCAAUUCAUCCUUCUGCCAGAAAACCAGCUCAUUUUGUUGCCUGUUGCCGCAGGAUUCGGUUUCUGCGGAAUUGCUUAACAAAAUGCCAAACUCCUACAGCUAGCGGACGUUUCCACACCAAGCCAACAUUAGAAUUC